CAAUAGCGUAUAUUAAAGUUGUUGCAGUUAAAAAGCUCGUAGUUGGAUUUCUGGUUGAAGCGACCGGUCGGGCGUUGAUUCGUCUGCACUGGAGUCGGUUUUGGCCAUCCUCUAGGAAAGUGCGUCUGGUAUUAAGUUAUCGGGCGUAUGAUCCUGGUCUUUUACUGUGAAAAAAUUAGAGUGUUUAAAGCAGGCCUUCGCCUUGAAUACAUUAGCAUGGAAUAAUAAGAUAGGACUUUGGUCUAUUUUGUUGGUUUGCAGACCGAAGUAAUGAUUAAUAGGGAUAGUUGGGGGUAUUUAUAUUCCGAUGUCAGAGGUGAAAUUCUUAGAUUUUCGGAAGACAAACUUAUGCGAAAGCAUUUACCAAGGAUGUUUNCAUUA
Molecule: ribosomal RNA, 381 nt
Filed under: uncultured eukaryote
Lineage: Eukaryota
Description: partial 18S ribosomal RNA
Rfam family: Eukaryotic small subunit ribosomal RNA
Source: RNAcentral